RNAcentral lists this ribosomal RNA (253 nucleotides) under uncultured bacterium. RNAcentral describes it as "partial 16S ribosomal RNA". It matches the Rfam family "Bacterial small subunit ribosomal RNA", at positions 524 to 776 of the family's 1533-position model. The record is from RNAcentral.
UACGUAGGUGACAAGCGUUGUCCGGAUUUACUGGGCGUAAAGAGCGCGCAGGCGGUCGUUCAAGUCGAGUGUGAAAGCCCCCGGCUCAACUGGGGAGGGGCAUUCGAUACUGAUCGACUCGAAGGCAGGAGAGGGUAGUGGAAUUCCCGGUGUAGUGGUGAAAUGCGUAGAUAUCGGGAGGAACACCAGUGGCGAAGGCGACUACCUGGCCUGUUCUUGACGCUGAGACGCGAAAGCUAGGGGAGCGAACAGG